RNAcentral lists this small RNA (98 nucleotides) under Paenibacillus sp. RNAcentral describes it as "Guanidine-I sequence". It matches the Rfam family "Guanidine-I riboswitch aptamer". Rfam says of the family: This family represents a conserved RNA structure found upstream of the ykkC and yxkD genes in Bacillus subtilis and related genes in other bacteria. The function of this family is unclear although it has been suggested that it may function to switch on efflux pumps and detoxification systems in response to harmful environmental molecules. Nelson showed that this riboswitch senses and responds to guanidine and it was renamed Guanidine-I riboswitch. Lineage: Bacteria; Bacillati; Bacillota; Bacilli; Caryophanales; Paenibacillaceae. The record is from RNAcentral.
UUAAAAGUUUUCUAGGGUUCCGCGGCCUAUUUGCCGGUCAGGUCCGAGAGAAAACACACAGCGCGCUGUGUUCACGGAGGGAUAAAAGCCCGGGAGGU